Non-coding RNA from Triticum aestivum (bread wheat), 124 nucleotides. Lineage: Eukaryota; Viridiplantae; Streptophyta; Magnoliopsida; Poales; Poaceae. The record is from Rfam.
CAACUACUCCCUUUGUCCCAAAUUUCUUGUCUUAGAUUUGUCUAGAUGCGGAUGUAUCUGUGACUUGAUACAUACGUAUCUAGACAAAUCUAAGACAAGAAUUUUGGGACGGAGGGAUUUCUUU